GACGAACGCUGGCGGCGUGCUUAACACAUGCAAGUCGAACGGAAAGGCCCUGCUUUUGUGGGGUGCUCGAGUGGCGAACGGGUGAGUAACACGUGAGUAACCUGCCCUUGACUUUGGGAUAACUUCAGGAAACUGGGGCUAAUACCGGAUAGGAGCUCCUGCUGCAUGGUGGGGGUUGGAAAGUUUCGGCGGUUGGGGAUGGACUGGCGGCUUAUCAGCUUGUUGGUGGGGUAGUGGCUUACCAAGGCUUUGACGGGUAGCCGGCCUGAGAGGGUGAACGGCCACAUUGGGACUGAGAUACGGCCCAGACUCCUACGGGAGGCAGCAGUGGGGAAUAUUGCACAAUGGGCGGAAGCCUGAUGCAGCAACGCCGCGUGCGGGAUGACGGCCUUCGGGGUGUAAACCGCUUUCGCCUGUGACGAAGCGUGAGUGACGGUAAUGGGUAAAGAAGCACCGGCUAACUACGUG
This 468-nucleotide ribosomal RNA is filed under the name uncultured bacterium. Its description in RNAcentral is "partial 16S ribosomal RNA". It matches the Rfam family "Bacterial small subunit ribosomal RNA", at positions 28 to 507 of the family's 1533-position model. The record is from RNAcentral.